AAUAUUGCACAAUGGGCGCAAGCCUGCUGCAGCGACGCCGCGUGGAGGAUGAAGGCCNNNGGGUCNUCAACUCCUGUCUGGGGNGACNAAUACUGACAGUACCCCCGGCCGAACCCCCGGCCACCUACGUGCCAGCAGCCGCGGUAAUACGUAGGGGGCAAGCGUUGUCCGGAAUUAUCGGGCGUAAAGGGUGCGUAGGCGGCCUUUUAAGUCAGAUGUGAAAGCCCACGGCUUAACCGUGGGACUGCAUUUGAAACUGGAAGACUUGAGUUAAGGAGAGGAAAGUGGAAUUCCUAGUGUAGCGGUGAAAUGCGUAGAUAUUAGGAGGAAUACCAGUGGCGAAGGCGACUUUCUGGACUUUUUCUGACGCUGAGGAACGAAAGCAUGGGGAGCAAAC
Molecule: ribosomal RNA, 397 nt
Filed under: uncultured bacterium
Lineage: Bacteria
Description: partial 16S ribosomal RNA
Rfam family: Bacterial small subunit ribosomal RNA
Source: RNAcentral